Pogona vitticeps (central bearded dragon) is the source of this 128-nucleotide ribosomal RNA. NCBI's taxonomy places the organism in Eukaryota, Metazoa, Chordata, Lepidosauria, Squamata, Agamidae. The record is from Ensembl.
ACUACUGUAUAUCCCAUCCUAACUUCAACAAACAGUACAAUUUUGUUUGCUUUUGGGAGCUAAGCAGGGUCAGUCCUGGCUACUAUUUGGAUGGAGGACCACUAGAUAAAACCAGGGAUCAUGAAGUG